Molecule: ribosomal RNA, 253 nt
Filed under: uncultured bacterium
Lineage: Bacteria
Description: partial 16S ribosomal RNA
Rfam family: Bacterial small subunit ribosomal RNA
Source: RNAcentral
UACAGAGAGGGCAAGCGUUGUCCGGAAUGACUGGGCGUAAAGCGCGCGCAGGCGGUUUCUUAAGUUGGAUGUGAAAUCCCCGGGCUUAACCUGGGAACUGCAUUCGAUACUGGGAGACUAGAGGCCGAGAGAGGAAAGCGGAAUGGCGAGUGUAGAGGUGAAAUUCGUAGAUAUUCGUCGGAACACCAGAGGCGAAGGCGGCUUUCUGGCUCGGACCUGACGCUCAGGCGCGAAAGCGUGGGGAGCAAACAGG